Molecule: ribosomal RNA, 509 nt
Filed under: uncultured bacterium
Lineage: Bacteria
Description: partial 16S ribosomal RNA
Rfam family: Bacterial small subunit ribosomal RNA
Source: RNAcentral
GACGAACGCUGGCGGCGUGCUUAACACAUGCAAGUCGAACGAAGAGCGAUUGAAGCUUGCUUCUAUCAAUCUUAGUGGCGAACGGGUGAGUAACGCGUAAUCAACCUUCCCUUCUGAGGUGGACAACAGUUGGAAACGACUGCUAAUACCGCAUACGAUCUAAUCUCGGCAUCGAGGAUAGAUGAAAGGUGGCCUCUACAUGUAAGCUAUCACUUCAGGAGGGGAUUGCGUCUGAUUAGCUCGUUGGAGGGGUAACGGCCCACCACGGCGAGGAUCAGUAGCCGGUGUGAGAGGAUGAACGGCCACAUUGGGACUGAGACACGGCCCAGACUCCUACGGGAGGCAGCAGUGGGGAAUCUUACGCAAUGGACGAAAGUCUGACGGAGCAACGCCGCGUGAGUGAUGACGGCCUUCGGGUUGUAAAGCUCUGUUAAUCGGGACGAAAGGCCUUCUUGCGAAUAGUGAGAAGGAUUGACGGUACCGGAAGAGAAAGCCACGGCUAACUACGU